ACCCAGCCCCGACCCUGCAGCUCUGGGGAGGAGCCCAGCCCCGACCCUGCAGCUCUGGGGAGGAGCCCAGCCCCGACCCUGCAGCUCUGGGGAGGAGGCCAGCCCCGACCCUGCAGCUCUGGGGAGGAGCCCAGCCCUGACCCUGCAGCUCUGGGGAGGAGCCCAGCCCUGGCAUUUUCAGCUGUUUUCAUUUGGUGAUCAGGACGGAACACAGAGGACGCACCAUGGAGUUUGGGCCGAGCUGGCUUUUUCUUGUUGCUAUUUUAAAAGGUGUCCAGUGUGAGGUGCAGCUGGUGGAGUCUGGGGGAGGCUUGGUACAGCCUGGGGGGUCCCUAAGACUCUCCUGUGCAGCCUCUGGAUUCACCUUCAGUGACCACUACCUGAGCUGGGUCCGCCAGGCUCCAGGAAAGGGGCUGGAAUGGGUAAGUUUCAUGAGAAACAAUGCUAAUGGUGGGAGAACAGAAUAUGCCGCGUCUGUGAAAGGCAGAUGCACCAUCUCAAGAGAUGAUUCCAAAAGCAUCACCAGUCUGCAAAUGAGCAGCCUGAAAACGGAGGACACGGCCGUGUAUUACUGUGCCAGAGACACAGUGAGGGGAGGUCAGUGUGAGCCCAGACGCAAACCUCCCUGCAGGGACGCGCGGAUCCCCCAAGGGGCGUUCGGGACCCACUGA
Non-coding RNA from Rhinopithecus roxellana (golden snub-nosed monkey), 671 nucleotides. The record is from the annotation of a RefSeq genome assembly. Lineage: Eukaryota; Metazoa; Chordata; Mammalia; Primates; Cercopithecidae.